UGAGUAGCAGCGAGCGGCCCGCGGGUUG
RNAcentral lists this small RNA (28 nucleotides) under Bombyx mori (domestic silkworm). Its description in RNAcentral is "ovarian small RNA-32252". The record is from RNAcentral. Lineage: Eukaryota; Metazoa; Arthropoda; Insecta; Lepidoptera; Bombycidae.